This 28-nucleotide non-coding RNA is filed under the name Mus musculus (house mouse). The record is from RNAcentral. Lineage: Eukaryota; Metazoa; Chordata; Mammalia; Rodentia; Muridae.
UGACAGGAGCAGUGAGGAGGUACGUUAU